RNAcentral lists this ribosomal RNA (652 nucleotides) under Escherichia coli. RNAcentral describes it as "partial 23S ribosomal RNA". It matches the Rfam family "Bacterial large subunit ribosomal RNA", at positions 614 to 1265 of the family's 2925-position model. Lineage: Bacteria; Pseudomonadati; Pseudomonadota; Gammaproteobacteria; Enterobacterales; Enterobacteriaceae. The record is from RNAcentral.
AAUGGGUCAGCGACUUAUAUUCUGUAGCAAGGUUAACCGAAUAGGGGAGCCGAAGGGAAACCGAGUCUUAACUGGGCGUUAAGUUGCAGGGUAUAGACCCGAAACCCGGUGAUCUAGCCAUGGGCAGGUUGAAGGUUGGGUAACACUAACUGGAGGACCGAACCGACUAAUGUUGAAAAAUUAGCGGAUGACUUGUGGCUGGGGGUGAAAGGCCAAUCAAACCGGGAGAUAGCUGGUUCUCCCCGAAAGCUAUUUAGGUAGCGCCUCGUGAAUUCAUCUCCGGGGGUAGAGCACUGUUUCGGCAAGGGGGUCAUCCCGACUUACCAACCCGAUGCAAACUGCGAAUACCGGAGAAUGUUAUCACGGGAGACACACGGCGGGUGCUAACGUCCGUCGUGAAGAGGGAAACAACCCAGACCGCCAGCUAAGGUCCCAAAGUCAUGGUUAAGUGGGAAACGAUGUGGGAAGGCCCAGACAGCCAGGAUGUUGGCUUAGAAGCAGCCAUCAUUUAAAGAAAGCGUAAUAGCUCACUGGUCGAGUCGGCCUGCGCGGAAGAUGUAACGGGGCUAAACCAUGCACCGAAGCUGCGGCAGCGACGCUGAUGCGUUGUUGGGUAGGGGAGCGUUCUGUAAGCCUGUGAAGGUGUGCUGUG